RNAcentral lists this transfer RNA (72 nucleotides) under Prototheca wickerhamii. RNAcentral describes it as "transfer RNA-Asn(GUU)". It matches the Rfam family "tRNA". Rfam says of the family: Transfer RNA (tRNA) molecules are approximately 80 nucleotides in length. The record is from RNAcentral. Lineage: Eukaryota; Viridiplantae; Chlorophyta; Trebouxiophyceae; Chlorellales; Chlorellaceae.
UCCUCAGUAGCUCAGUGGUAGAGCGGUCGGCUGUUAACCGAUUGGUCAUAGGUUCAAUCCCUAUCUGAGGAG